GACGAACGCUGGCGGCGUGCUUAACACAUGCAAGUCGAGCGGUAAGGCCCUUUCGGGGGUACACGAGCGGCGAACGGGUGAGUAACACGUGGGUGACCUGCCUUUAGCUCUGGGAUAAGCCUGGGAAACCGGGUCUAAUACCGGAUAUGACUCCGCGGCGCAUGUUGUGGGGUGGAAAGCCUUGUGCGGCUGGAGAUCGGGCCCGCGGCCUAUCAGCUUGGUUGGGUGGGGUGAUGGCCUACCGAAGGCGACGGACGGGUAGCCGGCCUGAGAGGCGACCGGCCACACUGGGACUGAGACACGGCCCAGACUCCUACGGGAGGCAGCA
This 328-nucleotide ribosomal RNA is filed under the name uncultured bacterium. RNAcentral describes it as "bacterial SSU rRNA". It matches the Rfam family "Bacterial small subunit ribosomal RNA", at positions 28 to 353 of the family's 1533-position model. The record is from RNAcentral.